Molecule: ribosomal RNA, 2919 nt
Filed under: Rubrivivax gelatinosus
Lineage: Bacteria; Pseudomonadati; Pseudomonadota; Betaproteobacteria; Burkholderiales; Sphaerotilaceae
Description: partial 23S ribosomal RNA
Rfam family: Bacterial large subunit ribosomal RNA
Source: RNAcentral
AUAGGGUCAAGUGACUAAGUGCAUGUGGUGGAUGCCUUGGCGAUUACAGGCGAUGAAGGACGUGGCAGUCUGCGAUAAGCCUCGGGGAGCUGGCAAGCAAGCUUUGAUCCGGGGAUUUCCGAAUGGGGAAACCCACCCGCAAGGGUAUCGUCAUCUGAAUACAUAGGGUGGCGAGGCGAACCGGGCGAACUGAAACAUCUCAGUAGCUCGAGGAAAAGACAUCAACCGAGAUUCCGAAAGUAGUGGCGAGCGAAAUCGGAACAGCCUGUACGUUUUAGCAGUCGAUUUAUCAGAACGGUCUGGAAAGUCCGGCCAUAGCAGGUGAUAGCCCUGUAUGAAAAAAGUCUUCUGUGGAACUAAGCGUACGACAAGUAGGGCGGGGCACGUGAAACCCUGUCUGAACAUGGGGGGACCAUCCUCCAAGGCUAAAUACUCGUAAUCGACCGAUAGCGAACUAGUACCGUGAGGGAAAGGCGAAAAGAACCCCGGGAGGGGAGUGAAAUAGAUCCUGAAACCGCAUGCAUACAAAAAGUCGGAGCCCGCAAGGGUGACGGCGUACCUUUUGUAUAAUGGGUCAGCGACUUACAUUCAGUGGCAAGCUUAACCGAAUAGGGAAGGCGAAGGGAAACCGAGUCCGAAUAGGGCGUCUAGUCGCUGGGUGUAGACCCGAAACCAAGUGAUCUAUCCAUGGCCAGGAUGAAGGUAGGGUAACACCUGCUGGAGGUCCGAACCGACUAGUGUUGCAAAACUAGCGGAUGAGCUGUGGAUAGGGGUGAAAGGCUAAACAAACUUGGAGAUAGCUGGUUCUCUCCGAAAACUAUUUAGGUAGUGCCUCAAGUAUUACCGUCGGGGGUAGAGCACUGUUAUGGCUAGGGGGUCAUGGCGACUUACCAAACCAUUGCAAACUCCGAAUACCGAUGAGUACAGCUUGGGAGACAGUGCACCGGGUGCUAACGUCCGGACACAAGAGGGAAACAACCCAGACCGCCAGCUAAGGUCCCCAAAAUUGGCUAAGUGGGAAACGAAGUGGGAAGGCUAAAACAGUCAGGAUGUUGGCUUAGAAGCAGCCACCAUUUAAAGAAAGCGUAAUAGCUCACUGAUCGAGUCGUCCUGCGCGGAAGAUGUAACGGGGCUAAGCCAGUUACCGAAGCUGCGGAUUUGCACGCAAGUGCAAGUGGUAGGAGAGCGUUCCGUACGCCUGCGAAGGUGGAUCGUGAGGUCUGCUGGAGGUAUCGGAAGUGCGAAUGCUGACAUGAGUAGCGUUAAAGGGGGUGAAAAGCCCCCUCGCCGAAAGCGCAAGGUUUCCUACGCAACGUUCAUCGGCGUAGGGUGAGUCGGCCCCUAAGGCGAGGCAGAGAUGCGUAGCUGAUGGGAAACAGGUCAAUAUUCCUGUACCGAUGUGUAGUGCGAUGUGGGGACGGAGAAGGUUAGCUCAGCCGGGUGUUGGAUGUCCCGGUUCAAGCCUGUAGUCGUGGCCCUUAGGCAAAUCCGGGGGUCUUAGAUGAGGGGUGAUAACGAGGAAGCUUGCUUCCGAAGUGAGUGAUACCCUGCUUCCAGGAAAAGCCACUAAGCUUCAGCUGCACACGACCGUACCGCAAACCGACACUGGUGCGCGAGAUGAGUAUUCUAAGGCGCUUGAGAGAACUCUGGAGAAGGAACUCGGCAAAUUGACACCGUAACUUCGGAAGAAGGUGUGCCUUUAGUAGGUGAACCAUUUACUUGGGGAGCCCAAUGAGGCCGCAGAGAAUCGGUGGCUGCGACUGUUUAUUAAAAACACAGCACUCUGCAAAGACGAAAGUCGACGUAUAGGGUGUGACGCCUGCCCGGUGCUGGAAGAUUAAAUGAUGGGGUGCAAGCUCUUGAUUGAAGUCCCAGUAAACGGCGGCCGUAACUAUAACGGUCCUAAGGUAGCGAAAUUCCUUGUCGGGUAAGUUCCGACCUGCACGAAUGGCGUAACGAUGGCCACACUGUCUCCUCCAGAGACUCAGCGAAGUUGAAAUGUUUGUGAUGAUGCAAUCUCCCCGCGGAAAGACGGAAAGACCCCAUGAACCUUUACUGUAGCUUUACAUUGGACUUUGAACAGAUCUGUGUAGGAUAGGUGGGAGGCUUUGAAGCGGUGCCGCUAGGUAUCGUGGAGCCAACGUUGAAAUACCACCCUGGUGUGUUUGAGGUUCUAACCUUGGCCCGUUAUCCGGGUUGGGGACAGUGUAUGGUGGGCAGUUUGACUGGGGCGGUCUCCUCCCAAAGCGUAACGGAGGAGUUCGAAGGUACGCUAGGCACGGUCGGAAAUCGUGCUAAUAGUGCAUAGGCAUAAGCGUGCUUGACUGCGAGACUGACAAGUCGAGCAGGUACGAAAGUAGGACUAAGUGAUCCGGUGGUUCUGUAUGGAAGGGCCAUCGCUCAACGGAUAAAAGGUACUCUGGGGAUAACAGGCUGAUACCGCCCAAGAGUUCAUAUCGACGGCGGUGUUUGGCACCUCGAUGUCGGCUCAUCUCAUCCUGGGGCUGUAGCCGGUCCCAAGGGUAUGGCUGUUCGCCAUUUAAAGAGGUACGUGAGCUGGGUUUAAAACGUCGUGAGACAGUUUGGUCCCUAUCUUCCGUGGGCGCUGCAAGAUUGAGGAAGCCUGCUCCUAGUACGAGAGGACCGGAGUGGACGCACCUCUGGUGUAUCGGUUGUCACGCCAGUGGCAUUGCCGAGUAGCUAAGUGCGGAAGAGAUAACCGCUGAAAGCAUCUAAGCGGGAAACUCGUUCCAAGAUGAGUCUUGCCGGGGCCUUGAGCCCCCUGAAGAGUCGUUCGAGACCAGGACGUUGAUAGGCCGGGUGUGGAAGCGCAGUAAUGCGUUGAGCUAACCGGUACUAAUUGCUCGUGAGGCUUGACCCUAUAACUUUGACGAUUGAGUCAAACGGGUUAUGCCAAAA